Molecule: long non-coding RNA, 503 nt
Organism: Mytilus californianus (California mussel)
Lineage: Eukaryota; Metazoa; Mollusca; Bivalvia; Mytilida; Mytilidae
Exons: 3
Source: RefSeq, a predicted model, not a curated record
AUUAACAAAAAUCAUGAUUUUUUUUUAUAUUCAUAUUUUCGCGGGAUUUGAACAGGAAGUUAGAUUGCCCAUGCGCAAUAUUUAAACCCGCAUCUUUCCUGUUUUGAAAAAGAAAGAACAGCAAAGAACGAAGUCGAGGAGAAUCUUUCCGUUUAUCAAGUAUGAAUCUUGUCAAACAAAUCAAUGGCUGAAAUGCAUCAAGUGGAGCAAAAUUAAAAUUCAGUUUUGGGAAUUCCAGUCUAUAAAAUCAUUGAAGAGGUUAAAUAUGCUGCAAAAGUAUAAAGAUGUCACUGAGAAACACAUAUCUGAUAAAGAUCCCUCCUGCUUGAACUUGAAGUCUGCCUCAGAAAGAUCUCGAAGUGGUGGAAGAAAGUUGACAUGCAAAAAGGACAAAAAGAGACAAAAGAUAGCAAAUGAAUUUAUAAAAUAAAUCUUGUAUCAAAAGAAAUAUCAUUGUAUUACUAAAUUUGAUAUUGUUCCUCAGUAAAUUUGUAUUCAUUUAA